GCGGCGGCGGCGGCGGUUGUGCUGCUAGGCAGGGUGUGUAGGCACCCUGACUGACAGGCCAUGCCAUCAAUAUACAUUGUCUUUUCCACAUUUAUAAUUUUUAUUGCAUGUUCGGUGAACUACAUUAAUUAGCUUUUUGAAAAAAAAUCGCUCUGGAGGAAUGAUCUUGUACGAACUGACACUUGAACAUUGUUACAUUGUAGUGCCUUGAACACGCGCCUUGCCCAUGCAAACUAUUCACGCGGUGACUGUGCCUCCACGCACGCGUACGUGUGCUUUGUCUGGCUGGUGAUAUGUGACUGAAAUUCUCGUCAGGAGGGAGCAUGGUCUCGGGAAGGAUGAUUUAAUUUGAAGUCAGAUAUUGAUUAACUUUUUUGUGACCAAAAUGGGACUCACGCAUGCGUGGAAGUGAAUGUCUCAUGUAUCAUAUAAAUGGUCAUAAAGGGCCUUUGUUCGAUUUACUUUCUUUUCCUUUCUUUCAGACUAUUUUCUUAUAUUGUAUUUAUCUUAUAUUCAGUAAUUUAUGCGUUGAGUGCUGAAGGAAAAGGAAAUAUUAUGUAUUAAUGGCAUUAUAGUGAUGUAAUUGUGAAAUAUAGAAAGAUAGCAAAACAGUAUUAUACAUAACAGUGUAAGUGAUGAGGACUUUGCUGCUUUGAUGGUGCAGAAGGAAAGAGAAAGUGGUCGUGAGCACUUUAUUGUAAAUUGGUGGCCGAGGUGCUUCUGUUGGGGAGCUGGAAGGCCGAACACGAGCCUCUUGAGUCUCAGAAUUAACUUUGAAUUAUUAUUUUAUCUAAACUGGAAAAAGCUGGCGUUACGAAAUACACCAAAACCUGUAAGAUGGUGACACCACCUUGGCACAUCAAAACUACAACAGACUCAUGUACUCACCAGAUUGGCGAGCCUUGAAGGACGAAGACACUUGCUGACCCUGACAGUGUUUAUCUCACUCUGGAGUCUUAAAGGGGGGUCUUGACUUGGUGGGGACUUGAUGGUGGUGGGCGACGCGCCUGGCUGGGCUGGGAGGAUAACACCUUGUGGGUGUUGCCGAGGGUGCCAGGCUGCUGCGUCUUGAUUGAGAUCGUUAUAAGUGGUCUCAUCGCACACCAGCGUUAAAGUGUCAGCAUGUUAUGGUGUACUUACUGAGGAAGCAAAUCGUUUAGAUGAACGCCAAUAAGAUUUUUUUUUUCCAGUUGUCGGUGGAUGCUUUCACUAGUAAUCCAGACCACUUUUUUUUUUUUUUUAAUUUCCAUAACAUGACCUUCGGUGUAUUCUGAACACUCAUUAUUACAACCAUCGUGUUCCUGUUCUUUGUGUAAAUCUUGUCUUGCGUGGAUCGAGCCUCUUGAUGCUACACAUUCCCAGUGUUCCACUUCGUUGAUAUGCUGCUGGCAUGGGAGCGUCACGCCCCCUCAGCCAUAUUCCUAUUUUAAAACUAGACAUUCUGCCACCCCACCUCGAGGAGUGUGGAGGUGGCGCGUAGAUGUUCGUGGUGUGGGCCGCACCAAUGAAGCAACAGUUGUUGGAGGCAACGAGCGUCAGGCAGGCCACCCUGGGGUGAAGAAUAAGACUCUCAGGGUGCCAGUGACGAUCCACCCGGGUGCCACAGCUUACCGCCCCACGUUGGUUGAUGAGGCAGCCUGGCCAAACACUGAGGCCAUCUCCCCUCUACCGCGCGCUGGGCUCUUCGACACGCCCACCACCCGCCAGGCCACUCCCUCCAGCCUACACCCGCCGCCACCUCAUCUCUCACCCGUCCCCUCCUCCAUUCACCCUCGCACUGUCAAUGAGAAUGCUGAUGGAGGCAAUUACAUUUGGCACUAUUUUCUUUUUUUAUGUGUGGGAAAGAUACAUUUCCGCAUUGUGUUAAAGUUUGUUCGCUGCUCACGAUCGGGUACUUGGUCGUCUUUCACUCUGUUGGUAUUCAUGGCAAGGCUAAGCUAGCAAUAUUGGGAAUAGUGUAUUUAAUCAAUUGUUUGUAGGCUGUUGUACUGAUAAGAAGUGAGUGAAGCAAGCAGGGUGAAUGAACGGGGGCACAGAGCUGGACUAAGGCGGGUGGAAGUGGGCGGAGCGAGGGCGCCAGACUCCGCCCCUCAGCGAGGAAGGCGCCCUCCGCAAGCCAGUGCUUCCAGUGUACUUGCCGUGCCCGCCAAGGACCGCGUCUGUGCUACUCGCCUCUCUUCGCACCUCAACCACCUACACACACCCGCACACCCACACCCCUGUCAUCUGGCCUCGCACGCCCACCACCACACUGAUCAAGACUUUAUACUAAAGUCACCCGCAACACUCCCGGCGUGAGCCAGGUGCUGGUCGCUGGAGUCUACCGGGCCAGCAGGUCGCACCACAAGGAGCGGUGGCCCUAGUUAUUAAUUGCACUGGACUUCCUAUAGCCCUUUGCCAUGUGAGUUGUGCUACCUGAAGAACGCUGUGUGGGGUGUGCAGGGAGUCGUGAGUGGCUGCGCUAAGUGCUGUGGGAAGCAAGGACUGGAUGACGCUGCUCGUCUCGCAGCAGCCACACCCCAGGAUGUACACAUUCGAAUCCUGAAUGUAAUUCACGGCACCAAGUCCCGCUGCACUUCGUGGACGUCGUACCGGUGGAUUUAUACAGUGAAUUCAUGCUGGAAACUAGUGUCUGAUUACAUACUUGUGAAAAUCUGUGAAUAAGUGUUGUGAAAAAUCCAAUGCCGUAAAAAAGUUGGAAAAAAAAAAACUUAGUGAAUGGAAAAUAAUAUAAUAGAAAGAAAAAAAGAACUAGUGAAAUAAAUGUGUCGUGGUUGGUGAAGGUAUCACAGUAUAGUGGUGAAGGCGUCACUGCGCGUCCCCCUGUGUCAUGACGCCCGAGGAUCGGCCGGCCAGAUGACGUGAGGCGCCCCUAGGCGGUAACCCCAGGCUGCCAAGACCCCCGGCCGCCGCGGGGGAGUGUCUGCAUCACAGUAAGGUUGCAUGUUUGAAAGGUUGGUAGUUAACCGUGUCUGUGGUCUUCCCCCCCUACAGCAGGGAGCAGGAUGCGGCCCGGAGCGCCUUGUGCUGGCUCCGUCCCGGCCCCCCCGCUGCUGACACCCUUCCUCCUGCUCCUGCUGGCUGCCGUUUGCACCGCCGUCAGCGCAAGGGUGCCCUGUCUUGACUCUGAGGAGUUCUCCUAUGCUCACACGGGCGUCACACGCCCCCGUGGUGCGACCCCAUAAGUAAGUUGUUGUAUUUCCCUCCUUACGCGUAUCCGUUCUUCCUGCUGUGCUGCUCCUCCCUGCUGCCCAUCCUCUUCUCAUCUCGCUGUACCAGUGUCACCCUAGAUGUGUGUGAGCGCGC
Molecule: long non-coding RNA, 3306 nt
Organism: Scylla paramamosain (green mud crab)
Lineage: Eukaryota; Metazoa; Arthropoda; Malacostraca; Decapoda; Portunidae
Exons: 3
Source: RefSeq, a predicted model, not a curated record